This 163-nucleotide ribosomal RNA is filed under the name Dendrobium moschatum. Its description in RNAcentral is "5.8S ribosomal RNA". It matches the Rfam family "5.8S ribosomal RNA". Rfam says of the family: 5.8S ribosomal RNA (5.8S rRNA) is a component of the large subunit of the eukaryotic ribosome. It is transcribed by RNA polymerase I as part of the 45S precursor that also contains 18S and 28S rRNA. Functionally, it is thought that 5.8S rRNA may be involved in ribosome translocation. Lineage: Eukaryota; Viridiplantae; Streptophyta; Magnoliopsida; Asparagales; Orchidaceae. RNAcentral also lists the same sequence under 2 other names. The record is from RNAcentral.
AAAUGACUCUCGGCAAUGGAUAUCUCGGCUCUCGCAUCGAUGAAGAGCGCAGCGAAAUGCGAUACGUGGUGCGAAUUGCAGAAUCCCGCGAACCAUCGAGUCUUUGAACGCAAGUUGCGCCUGAGGCCAACCGGCCAAGGGCACGUCUGCCUGGGCGUCAAGC